AUUGAACGCUGGCGGCAGGCCUAACACAUGCAAGUCGAGCGGAUGAAGGGAGCUUGCUCCUGGAUUCAGCGGCGGACGGGUGAGUAAUGCCUAGGAAUCUGCCUGGUAGUGGGGGAUAACGUCCGGAAACGGGCGCUAAUACCGCAUACGUCCUGAGGGAGAAAGUGGGGGAUCUUCGGACCUCACGCUAUCAGAUGAGCCUAGGUCGGAUUAGCUAGUUGGUGGGGUAAAGGCCUACCAAGGCGACGAUCCGUAACUGGUCUGAGAGGAUAAUCAGUCACACUGGAACUGAGACACGGUCCAGACUCCUACGGGAGGCAGCAGUGGGGAAUAUUGGACAAUGGGCGAAAGCCUGAUCCAGCCAUGCCGCGUGUGUGAAGAAGGUCUUCGGAUUGUAAAGCACUUUAAGUUGGGAGGAAGGGCAGUAAGUUAAUACCUUGCUGUUUUGACGUUACCAACAGAAUAAGCACCGGCUAACUUCGU
Molecule: ribosomal RNA, 483 nt
Filed under: uncultured bacterium
Lineage: Bacteria
Description: partial 16S ribosomal RNA
Rfam family: Bacterial small subunit ribosomal RNA
Source: RNAcentral